This 486-nucleotide ribosomal RNA is filed under the name uncultured bacterium. RNAcentral describes it as "partial 16S ribosomal RNA". It matches the Rfam family "Bacterial small subunit ribosomal RNA", at positions 30 to 507 of the family's 1533-position model. The record is from RNAcentral.
AUUGAACGCUGGCGGCAUGCCUUACACAUGCAAGUCGAACGGCAGCACGGGUGCUUGCCCCUGGUGGCGAGUGGCGAACGGGUGAGUAAUACAUCGGAACAUGUCCUGUAGUGGGGGAUAGCCCGGCGAAAGCCGGAUUAAUACCGCAUACGAUCUACGGAUGAAAGCGGGGGACCUUCGGGCCUCGCGCUUUAGGGUUGGCCGAUGGCUGAUUAGCUAGUUGGGGGGGUAAAGGCCUAACAAGGCGACGAUCAGUAGCUGGUCUGAGAGGACGACCAGCCACACUGGGACUGAGACACGGCCCAGACUCCUACGGGAGGCAGCAGUGGGGAAUUUUGGACAAUGGGCGAAAGCCUGAUCCAGCAAUGCCGCGUGUGUGAAGAAGGCCUUCGGGUUGUAAAGCACUUUUGUCCGGAAAGAAAUCCUUGGCCCUAAUACGGUCGGGGGAUGACGGUACCGGAAGAAUAAGCACCGGCUAACUACGUG